Myotis daubentonii (Daubenton's bat) is the source of this 2546-nucleotide long non-coding RNA. RefSeq lists it as uncharacterized. Lineage: Eukaryota; Metazoa; Chordata; Mammalia; Chiroptera; Vespertilionidae. The transcript is spliced from 3 exons. The record is from RefSeq and is a predicted model, not a curated record.
UACAUCUUUCAAAAAGAAAAGAAUAGUCAUGCCUGUUUCACAGGACUGUGGGAAGCUCCGCUGGAAGAGAAGGGAAGGCGGUUUGGGAGCUGGGGCCUGACGGGGUGGCAGCAGUGACGCCGAUGCCGGGCGCGGGGCUGUGAGAAGUGUUCUUUCCUUGGGCAUUUGCAUCUGGCUCAUAAACAGGGCUGGGCAUAGGCACCAGACACACAAGAUGAAUGAGAUACGGCCUUCGCCGGGAGGAACUGACACUGGAGGCAGGGAACACCGAGUCCUGGGAUUGCCACACACCUCCAGGCGGUUUCCGUCAGGACGGAGAGGGGUACUCAUGGUGGCCAGCAGCUUCGCCUUUGUGGACAACAGUGGGAGCCAGCACGUGGUGCGAUGUCACCGUGCCACGAGCAGUCAUCAUAGGAUCAUUAGAAACCUCACCGAAGGUCUUGGCGUAGAAGUCACUUCUCGUGGAGCCUUCCCCUGACAUCGCCGCGCAGACACGCUCUCCCUGGUCCUCCCCUUGGCCUGGGAUGAGUGUCCCUCCCAGGGUCACCGGGGGCACCAGGCCCUCGCCUGUGCACCUGUCCGUCUCUCUAGCUGACUACGAACGUUCCAGGACAGGAACUCUGCUCACGUCGUCUCUCCAGCACCCAGCCCAGCCCAGGCCUGACAUACGGUAGGUGUUCAAGAGAGAUUUGUUGAAAGCGCUCAGGGAGGAAUAAAUGCAUGACUGCUCUGCCCCUCCGGGAUGAGUGGGUCUCUUGUGGGGGGAGGGUGUUCGCUGCUUUUCCCCAGAAAGCCUUGGCUUCAGUGUUCCGUCCCUUUGUCCUCUAACAUCAGGUCUGUCGCACUGUCCGUCCAUCUGAUCUGGAAAAUAGGGUUGCUAUGGCCCUGAGCCGGCUGGCGGGAGCCCCAAGAGCUCUGAGGAUGAACUGCAAACAGCAGGGCAUCUCUGCGUUGAGAGGGAGGAGAGCACAGGAAAAGGGAGUCCUCAGGCCAUGAGUCGCUCACGGGCCACCAAUCUGUUCCCGAGAGGCAGGGCGGUCGGUGUGCAUGCCCAGUGGGCAGGGCAGGUGGUUUGGGCACUUUCUGCUGUGACACCGAGAUCCGCUGUGUAUUUUGCUGGCUCCAGAGGGGAGACGGCAAAGAAUAACCUACAACCACAGCAACGAGGCUGGGGUUCCAGUCCUCCGCCCGUCGUCCCUGUAAAUAGUGGAGGACUUCUGCAACUUUUAGUCUUUCCGCAUCCGGCGUGCACUUCCUGUGUCAUUUCUGUCGCCCUGCCGUUUCACUUAGAUGUAUCCCAGAGCGGCUGGAGGCUGGGAGAAUAUGGUCACUGCGUCUGUUUCCACCUCCUGAGACCAUGAGGCCCACCGCUAGGACACAGCCAUGAAGCCAGGGUCUGGGGCCCAGGCCUUUUAGAGAGGGAACAGGAGAGCAGUGGGGGCUCGGCACCCUGCCCCCACGCUCCUGGAGGCCCCAUCACGAGGUGGCCAGAGCCAGCCCUGGUGAGGACAACCAAUCUAGUGGCAACUAUAUACAAAGUGCACGCUCUGGACGGGUCACAUGACCCAGACAUACUCUCACCUCAAGGCCUUUGCACUUGCUGUUCCUCCGCCUGGAUGCUGUUCCCCUCGGAUUUCUAUAAGGCUCACUCCCUCAGGCCUUCGUGUAAUCGGCCCCCGCUCAGGCAGACCUUCCCUGGUCACCUAUUGAAAUUGACCUCCCUCACUCCCACCCCAUUUCCCUGUGUGGUUGUUCUCCAGAGCACUUACUGCCAUCUGACACACUGGGUUCUUCCUCCCCAUCCUUCCCUCCCUUACUUUUUCCUUCCAUUGUCUGCCUCUUUUCCAUAGAAUGUACCGGAAGAACCACAGCAAUUGUGUUUACAGACGUAACUCUGGCUUACUUCUCUCUUACUCUCUAAUAGAUUAGCCUGCCCCUAGCUGGUGUGGCUCAGUGGAUAGAGCGUCUGCCUGCAGACUGAAGGGUCCCAGGUUUGAUUCCUGCACAUGCCCAGGUUGCAGGCUCGAUCCCCAGGAGGGGGCAUGCAGGAGGCAGUCGAUCUCUCAUUGUUGAUGUUUCUAUCUCUCCCUAUCCCUUCCUCUCUAAAAUCAAUAAAAUAUAUAUUUUUAAAAAAUAAAUAUAUAUAAUGGAUUACCCGAAAAUUUUAGCAGCUUAAGAAAGAUUUUGCACUCGGGUUUGAACAGUGGCUGGAAAUAGACGAGGAACCAGGGAGAAGAUGCCUCGGAGUGGAAAGGGGGAGAGACAGCCUCCUCCCAGGAUGAAAAGAGUGGGGCUUCCACACGGCUCCCAGGAGCUGGUGUCAUGAUGUUUCCCAACAGAGUAGAAAUAAAUCAGUCUCUGGGCUGUGUCUUUAUGUGAGAUACGUUAGGGAAGGAUUAAAGUGAGUCUUUUUAUAAAUAUACCAGUAUAUAUUUCAUUGAAAAAAUCCGCAUUAUUAACCGGCACAUAUUAUGGAAAAAUUCAUAUUAUUAACCGGUACACCUGCUAAUAGUCAUGCUGGCUAAUAAAGCGGAUUUUUAAAAAAA